Non-coding RNA from Oryctolagus cuniculus (rabbit), 5791 nucleotides. NCBI's taxonomy places the organism in Eukaryota, Metazoa, Chordata, Mammalia, Lagomorpha, Leporidae. The record is from RefSeq and is a predicted model, not a curated record.
AGUCUCGGGUGAUUGCUGAUGUCAUAAAUAAGAGUGCCAAUUGUUAAAUCAACAAUGGGAGUCACUGGGUACAUGGUCUCCGUGUAGGAUCUCUGUCCUUAAUGUGUUUUAGUAUGAAACUUAAAAACAACACUACUAGUUGAACAAUGCCCUAUACCUUGUGCGGUUGUGUGAGGGCAGCCUGUUGAAAUCCUUGCUUAGUACAUACUAAGUUGAUCUUCUGUAUAUGAAGGUACCUGUGCUUGUGUCGUUAUUUGGAAAUACGGUCUUUGAAUAUGCAAUGAGGAAAAGGUCAUGUUGUGUUAUCCAGUGGCUAGUGUCCUCCUAAAACAAGAGAGAUUUGAAGAUGCUUAGAGACAUAGAGGAGACAAAGGGAAGAUGCCAAUGUGAAGUUAGAGACAGAGAGCUGAGUUACACUACCUGAAGUCAGGUAAUGCCAAUGAUGGUUGGAAAUCAUCAUAAGGACUAUAUUGAAUAGCAGUGGUGAAAGUGGACAUCCUCAUCUGGUUCUGGAUCUCAGUGGGAAAGCUUCCAACUUUUCUCCAUUCAAUAGGAUGCUGAACAUUGUGGUCAGAUAAGAUGCAUGGUUCCUGGAUUGGACUCCUUGAACUGCUGUUGAUGUAAAACACUGUGCUAAGUCAGAUGCAUAGCUACCUUGGAAUCGUUGACAGUUGAAAAACCUCUUCAUGAGCCUCUAGGACUCAGUAAGAUGAUCUCUAUGUACUGCUAGAAACACAACUGGAGGAUUCAUGCGAGGAGAUUGGGACAGGCACCUGCUCAGGUAAAGAAAAGGAUUGCAAAUUUCUGCUAUGUCAAGCAGCCUAAAUGACAGUGUAAUAAAAUGAGGUCUGAACUGGGAGACUCCAAGACUUACAUCAGCUCUCCGAAGAAAGGCAGAAUGGAAUUUCACAUUCUGCCUAUUUCCCCUGUGACAGAGACGUGGCUUCCGUAAUUUACGGUAGAACUGUAGCGACUGGCAAGAGUUCAAGCUGAGAAUACUAUACACUAUGAAUAAGGCACCGAGUCCCAGAAAGGCCAGAACCAGGAGUACACAGUUAAGUAGGUGACGAUUAGGAUCAAAGUCCAUCUGAUUUGUCAAGAAACAUGUUCUGUCAUAUCAUAUAUCUUUCUUGCUAUGCUUUGUUUCUCUGCCUCUUGUGAAAUAUAGGAAAAGGAAAUAAAAGUUGUAAAUAAAGAGCUUUGAACUAUUAUAUUUUAUGAAUAAACAUAAUUCUGUCCCUAAGCCUAUGUUUUUAGCAGGGUUAUCUCAGAUGUGUAUUGCUUGCUUGCACUGGUUUUAAGCAUGUGGCCAAAAUGUUCCCUUAGACCUCAGCGUUGUCAAUUAAGUGGUGUUGGUUACUCUUAGGAUAGAGAUAGCUAACAGCACUUUAUUUCAGCAAUCAAUGUUACUGACGGAGUGAGAAAUUAUGUAAUGGGUUUCAGUGGAAAGUGUUGCAAGGGAUCUAUUUUAUCAACUUCUAAGCUCACAUUUGGGCUGAGCAAUACAAAGAUAAAAGGCAGACAAUGGCCAGGCAGCUUUACUUUCAUUGCUUUCAGCUUGAAACAGGUUAGUGCCGACCCACUUAAAGGCUGUGCAUGUGGCGGCUGCCUAAAGUACAAAUAUGUUCCAUAAAGUGGCCCAGCAGGUUUGUGUUUUCCUCCCUCGAUUGACUUUCACAUCAAAGUGGCUCUGUUCUCAGCUGAACAUAAUGGGACUUCAUCCUAACACCUUGCCAAGCUCUCAUGGAUGUUGGCAUGGAAAAAAUGUGAACGCUGCCUCAUGAAUCCUCUUCCCAGCCCUCGGAGUGAGUGGCAAGUGAUGUCCCCACCACUUUCCAGUGGAGGAAACAAAGGUAAAGUAAAUUGUUCACUUAGCAUCCAAACCCCAGACUUCUAGACAUUGCCACGUGGAUAUCCUGUUGGCUUGUCGAAGUCAACUUGCCACAGAUUGAGCUCCUUCUCUACCCUUUUCCAAACCUCAUCCUUGUUUCCAGGGACUGUGUCUUGCGAAGAGCACUACAUAUCUAUGUCUUCCCAGGACAGGACAUUCUGAAAAGUUUUUGAUUCUUUUCACUGCACAUUCAAUCCGUUAAUGAUGUUUGCUUUCUUUCCUUCGGGAUAUUUCACCAAUCCAUCCUUAAGUCCAUUCAGUCAUUACAUCCACCAUCCAGAUUAGUGAGAAAAAAUUCUUUAUUUAAAUUUCCAAUUAUGCUUCUUCAAUUUACUCUUUAUUUUGUCUCAUAAUUGCUCUUCCUGAAAUAGAGGUUUACAACUUCCUCUCUACUCAGAAUGUUUUGAUGGACUCACAUGACCCAAACACACACACACACACACACACACACAACCCCGAGUUCAUGGCAGGGAAAUCUGUCAAGACAGGGCACAUUCUCCUUCUGAGGACCCCCUGCCACCACCCCCCACUAGCUAGAGGGGCCAACUUCCCAACUCCCGGGUGCCUUUGCUCCCGUUUCAGCUUCAGUUCUUGCUGGAAUGCCUGUAUCUCAGCUCAUUUGUCUAGCAAAUUCUAUUCAUUCUUUAAGGUCCUGUUCUUCUGUUCCACUGGUUUUGUUUUCCAUUUUGAGUCAUUCAUCUGCCUGCUCUGUUAAUUAACCUCUCCCUCUUUUGGACUUUCAUAGCAAUUCAUUACCAUGCUCUACUCUGUUUGGAGUGAGUUAUUAUCAUUUCCCAAAAUAGCAUGUAAGUUCCUUGAGCACAAAGUCUGUAUUUUAUUUAUCUCUGAAUUUUAUUAGUGCUUAGCAUGCUCUGGGUACCUAAGUAAAAAGCAUUUUAAUGACAAUAUUUAGGUAAUAAAAUAACUUUUUUAAAAACAAAUGUUAUCAUAUUUAAUACUUAAAAUAACCGGUAGGUGUUCUUAUUCACCUCUAAAUUACAGAUGGAAAAAAGUGAGGUCUACAGAAGUCAAAGGAAUUUUCUAUAACCUAUUUGAUAUUAGAGUGAGGAUGUAAGCCCAGUAUUCUCAACUGUAAGCCAUGAUUUUCAGUCCACUGUGCGAGAUUGCACAUAAACAGAAAUAAUGUUGGAAAUUUGGCCUGAUACAUACUGAUUUUGAUGAAAUAAGCUUUUUUGGCUACAAAUUCAUGUUAUAUGUUGUUCAUAGUAAAGGAUUGUUAAUAUCCAAAAGAUUCUUCACUUUUUCUACACCUUAUAGUAAGAAGACAAACUCUUUGAGAUUAUGUCAUGUUCAAAUUAGGAGCAACUAUUGCACCAGUGUGUUCAAUAUAAGAAUUAUUGAUUACAUAAUAGAUCUAAUUGAAGAAAUUUUGAUGUCCUUGGCCAUUUUGUCUUCAUAUCACUAACAAUGGCUAACCUUUUAUGGAAAAAAGUGUGCACAGCUUGGUUGGUUCCUACGACCAGACUGUGACUGGAGGAGAGGCAUGGAGACCUCCGGUUAAAGUCAUGGACAUCUCUACCAGGAGGUCCUGGAGCUGACCAUCUUGCUUCACCCAGGCCUGCUAUUUCACCAUCUCAUCAGAGCAAGCAUCACUUGGCUUAGCUACAAGUCCAGUCCAGGCUGUUAUCCUUAAUUAUUCACUCUGAUUUGGCCUAGAUUGAUCAGGGAACAGACUGUUUACAGCCUUGUUUUCCAAAUGCUUUGCCUUGUGAGCAUAGGUAGUUGGAAGGACAGAAAGUUCAAACUCUAAUUUCCUAGAGAUGUUUAAAGAUCACUCAAGCAAAUAGAUUCCAUCAGGGUCUACCCUUCCUUUCUGACACGCAUCCAACAUCCCCUAAGUUCCCCUAUGCUGUCUAGUCUUCUGUAUUUCUCACUCAAUCCUUUGUGUACCAUGUGGUUCACUUCCCACUCCAUUUACGACAACUCCAUCGCUUUUUAAUUUAUAUUCUAUGAUUUGCCUUUUGAAUUAUUACUGACACUGUGAUACUUGUUGCUGAUUAUUUAAGCACCAUUUGAAGUUCUUGAAUGAAUGUGGUAGAUUAGUUGCAAAAAUGAACUCAAUUCUUUGAUCAGCUUUUUUCUUAGCUCUUCUCAUGUUUCUACCCCUUUUCAACCAUCAAGGGGAGGUUUAUUUCCCCAUCCCUUGAACCUAUGCCUAAUUUCUGUUUUGCUUUGGCCAAUGAAAUGUAAUGGAGUUGAUAGAGUGUCAUUUCUCAGUAAGGCCUUAAAGGGGGCAUCUAUGCUUAUGUUCUCUCCUUGGAACCCAUCCACCUUGUGACUAAGCCUGGGCUUCCUGAUGGAGGAUGAAGUCCAUGUUGGGGAGGAGCUAGUUAUUCCUGCUAAGACUGUCCAAGGCUGUUGUAUAUUGGCUGACCUCUAAACAUGCAAAAAAGCAGGCAGUUGCAUCCCCAGUUGAUUGAAUAUGCAAGGGUGAGACCAACAGAAGCACCCAGGUGUCAAACAGACUCAAACAAUGAUAAAAUUCUUACUGUUUUGAGCCAACUUGAAUUUAGGUGGUUUGUCUCAAAGCAAUAACUGACUCACACAAUGCAUUACUUCAUUAAAGCCUCUUUAUAUAGUGGUGUCAGUAUUAAUAUCCAUAUUUAAUGGAUGAAGAACCUUAAGGUUAGCAAGAUCAAGGUACUUGUUCAACUUCUCACAGUGAAUGAAAAGGCCAGGAUUUGAGCUAGUCUUAACUACAGAGUUUGCAUGAUUAAACAGUAUGUUAUAUGGUUCUCUUUCUGGAACAUAUAAUUUGCAACCAUAUUCCUAGAGUCAUUAAAUCUAUUGGAGAAAUAAUUUAGCUCAUGUCCUGUGAUUUCUACCUACGGAGAUGUAGACCCAGAGUUGACUUGUUUGUCCAAGAUCACAAAGUCAAACAGUAGUCCUAGGUUUUUGAUCACUUCAUCUGCCCUAAUUUAUUCCACAUUGUUAAGAACAUUCCCCUUCUUACCAAGUGAUGAAGGUUCUUGAUGUUUAAUGCUCUCUCUGUUUUCUUUAGUGCCUAGUAAAGUGCUGAAUACUGGGAGUGUUUAGCCCAUAUUUAUUAAUUGGCUGCUUGCUGGCAUCUGUUUCUGACAUUGGAAAUGUCUGGACAGCAGACAGAGUGGCCCCAGCAGCAGUAAUGGGAUAGGAAGAGGCAGCCAGCUGGAAGUCUGUGCCAGUACGGGAACUGUCUGCUCAGGCCUAGACCCACAUGGAAAUUCUCAUCCUUUGCAAUUACUGUGUUUUCUAAGAGGCAUCGUAUUUGCUGUUCACCAAAUUGUCAGGGCUGGAUUUUGUUGCUGUACAAGAUAAAGGGAAAAAAAAAAACACCCUCACAUUUGGGAGAAUGAAAUUAUUCCUACUCGGAGGGAAGCCCUAAGUUUCAGAUUUUGCUUUCACACAACUUGUGGUAAGAUUGUCCUUCAAACACUGGAAUGAAUGUAAGCAAAAACUGAUUUGAGCAAGUCUAAGUAGCAUCAAAUUCGACCUGGAGCCUUAAACUUGCGCUCUUCUGGUCUGCCCUCUGUAUAAGCCAAGAAAUUCAGCUUUGUGAUAGAUUUAAUUAAACUGCUAACAUUGGUGGGGGGCACAUUCUGGGGAAAGGAGUUUUUUUUUAAUGAUUUAUUUAUUUUAUUUGAAAGGCAGAGUUGCAGAGAGGCUGAAGCAGAGAGAGAAGGGGGAGAGAGGUCUAAUAUCUGCUGGUCCACUCCCCAGAUGACCACAAUGGUUGGAGCUGCUUCAAUCUGAAGCCAGGAGCCAGAAGUCUCUUCUAGCUCUCCCACAUGGGUGCAGGGGCCCAAGGACUUGGGCCAUCUUCCACUGCUUUCCCAAGCCAUAGCAGAGAGCUGGAUCAGAAGUGGAGCAGCCGGGGCUUGAACCUCACCCCCUGUGCCA